Molecule: ribosomal RNA, 708 nt
Filed under: uncultured delta proteobacterium
Lineage: Bacteria; Deltaproteobacteria
Description: bacterial SSU rRNA
Rfam family: Bacterial small subunit ribosomal RNA
Source: RNAcentral
CUAUGUGCCAGCAGCCGCGGUAAUACAUAGGGUGCAAGCGUUGUCCGGAAUUAUUGGGCGUAAAGAGCUCGUAGGUGGUUCGUCACGUCGGAUGUGAAAAUCUGGGGCUUAACCCCAGACCUGCAUUCGAUACGGGCGAGCUAGAGUGUGGUAGGGGAGACUGGAAUUCCUGGUGUAGCGGUGAAAUGCGUAGAUAUCAGGAGGAACACCGGUGGCGAAGGCGCCUUCCUGGCCUAAGACUGACGCUGAGGUGCGAAAGCCUGGGGAGCAAACGGGAUUAGAUACCCCGGUAGUCCACGCCGUAAACGAUGAGUGCUAGGUGUCGGGGGUAUCGACCCCCCCGGUGCCGUCGCUAACGCAUUAAGCACUUCCGCCUGGGGAGUACGGCCACAAGGUUGAAACUCAAAGGAAUUGACGGGACCCCGCACAAGCCGGUGGAGCAUGUGGAUUAAUUCGUCACUAACCGAAGAACCUUACCCAGGUUUGACAUCGAGGGUAAGACCAUGAAAGUGGUACCCUCUAGCAAUAGACCCGAAGACAGGUGUUGCAUGGCUGUCGUCAGCUUCGUGUCGUGAGAUGUUGGGUAAAGUCCCGCAACCGAGCCCCAACCCUUCACCGUAUUGUUGCCAGCGUAAAGUCGGGAACUUUUACGGAACUUGCCCUGCAACCGGAAGAAGGUGGGAUGACCUCAAAUCGCAUGGCCCUUAA